This is a long non-coding RNA of Urocitellus parryii (Arctic ground squirrel), 405 nucleotides long. RefSeq lists it as uncharacterized. The record is from RefSeq and is a predicted model, not a curated record. Lineage: Eukaryota; Metazoa; Chordata; Mammalia; Rodentia; Sciuridae.
UCCACAGGAACAUGGAGCUCCCUCCAGCAUGCACUCUCAGACCACAGCCUCUCUCUCAGCCUCUUCCCACCACAGAAACUUCUUCCCUGGAGAUCCAGCUCCAGCGACUGAGGGCCUAGUUCCUCAUCGAUCUGCCUGGCUCCUGCUCCCGUCAAAGGCCCCACCCAGAAGAGGCAGUGACAGAGCCAGGCAACACAUCAGACAUUGCCUCACUGUCAUGGAUGCAGUCUCUGAUGAGCAGUCAAGCCCUGACAGAGCCUGAGCACCAACUCCAGCUGCCCCUGCCCCACUCAGGCUCCCCCCAGCAGCUCACAGACAACCACUGGCAAUGUCACUCCCCGUGAGCAGACUGAGGGCUUUGGGGAAAGAGUUCUGCCUCAAGACAGAAACCCAACUAAGUUUCCA